Long non-coding RNA from Pseudophryne corroboree (corroboree frog), 1020 nucleotides. RefSeq lists it as uncharacterized. Lineage: Eukaryota; Metazoa; Chordata; Amphibia; Anura; Myobatrachidae. The record is from RefSeq and is a predicted model, not a curated record. The transcript has 3 exons.
GAGGGGGAAGAAGCUGCUAGACUGUCCCCACGGCAGCAUUAUCCGCAUGCCAUAGCCGGGGAGCAGGAGUCACGAGCAGUUAGAGAGGAGGUUAUAAAAGGGGCUGCUGGUGCGGCAGUUGGAAAAGAGCCGGUAGCCUGUGAAACAGUGAGGAGCAGUGAUGGAGGACAGGGGGAUCUCUUAUGAGUAAAGGAGGUGACCCCCGUCAAAAUCAGUUCAGUGAAGUGUGGGAAUUGCUGACACCGGGAGCUGCCGCGGUGGUAGACGCGUGAGUGAGGAGAGACUACAGUCCAGGAUGGACAGCGCCUUACCUCUCUCUGCCAGCACUGAUUGCAUAGGAGGCCAGGAGAGUGACAGUGUGGAGGGCUGGAGCACUGGUCAAGCAAGUCGAUCCUCCAAAUUCAGUGGCUGGUAGAAGUAGGGACAGCCUCCCUAAAGAAUCGAAGGGGCUAGGCUACAGCACAGACCCAUAGACCCAAAUUCGGUGUGGUAUGACUGGUGUUGCUGGAAGUCGUAUGGAGAGAGCUGGAAAAGAGAACAGUGGAGGGGGAAGAAGCUGCUAGACUGUCCCCACGGCAGCAUUAUCCGCAUGCCAUAGCCGGGGAGCAGGAGUCACGAGCAGUUAGAGAGGAGGUUAUAAAAGGGGCUGCUGGUGCGGCAGUUGGAAAAGAGCCGGUAGCCUGUGAAACAGUGAGGAGCAGUGAUGGAGGACAGGGGGAUCUCUUAUGAGUAAAGGAGGUGACCCCCGUCGAAAUCAGUUCGGUGAAGUGUGGGAAUCGCUGACAUCGGGAGCUGCCGCGGUGGUAGACGCGUGAGUGAGGAGAGACUACAGUCCAGGAUGGACAGCGCCUUACCUCUCUCUGCCAGCACUGAUUGCAUAGGAGGCCAGGAGAGUGAAAGUGUGGAGGGCUGGAGCACUGGUCAAGCAAGUCGAUCCUCUUACUGCCUCUGCAGCUAACUUUCCUCUUGUUUUGUUUUUUUCUUUACCACUCUAUAAUUAAAUAAUUUUACAUACCCUGA